GAUGAAGAACGUAGCGAAAUGCGAUACGUAAUGUGAAUUGCAGAAUUCAGUGAAUCAUCGAAUCUUUGAACGCACAUUGCGCCCGCUAGUAUUCUGGCGGGCAUGUCUGUCCGAGCGUCAUUUCAACCCAUCAAGCUUAGCGCUUGUGUUGGAGCCCUGCGGCCGCCGCAGCCUCCUAAAAUCAGUGGCGGGCUCGCUAUCACGCUGAGUGCAGUAGUAUUCUUCUCACUCCUGUGGUGUAGCGGGUAACCAGCCGUAAACCCCCCCAUCUAUAAAGGUUGACCUCGGAUCAGGUAGGAAUACCCGCUGAACUUAAGCAUAUCAAUAAGCGGAGGA
Molecule: unclassified non-coding RNA, 336 nt
Filed under: soil metagenome
Description: partial contains 5.8S ribosomal RNA, internal transcribed spacer 2, and large subunit ribosomal RNA
Rfam family: 5.8S ribosomal RNA (bases 1-120)
Source: RNAcentral